GCCUCAUUGGCUGAAAGGCAGAGUGUCUGUUGAGUAAGCAGAAGCUCACUGGUUCGAAUCGAGCAUGAUGCA
Dictyocaulus viviparus (bovine lungworm) is the source of this 72-nucleotide non-coding RNA. NCBI's taxonomy places the organism in Eukaryota, Metazoa, Nematoda, Chromadorea, Rhabditida, Metastrongylidae. The record is from the annotation of a GenBank genome assembly.